Molecule: ribosomal RNA, 490 nt
Filed under: uncultured bacterium
Lineage: Bacteria
Description: partial 16S ribosomal RNA
Rfam family: Bacterial small subunit ribosomal RNA
Source: RNAcentral
AGUGAACGCUGGCGGUAGGCCUAACACAUGCAAGUCGAACGGCAGCACAGGAGAGCUUGCUCUCUAGGUGGCGAGUGGCGGACGGGUGAGGAAUACAUCGGAAUCUGCCCAGUCGUGGGGGAUAACGUAGGGAAACUUACGCUAAUACCGCAUACGACCUUCGGGUGAAAGAGGGGGAUCGCAAGACCUCUCGCGAUUGGAUGAGCCGAUGUCGGAUUAGCUAGUUAGCGGGGUAAUGGCCCACCAAGGCGACGAUCCGUAGCUGGUCUGAGAGGAUGAUCAGCCACACUGGAACUGAGACACGGUCCAGACUCCUACGGGAGGCAGCAGUGGGGAAUAUUGGACAAAGGGCGCAAGUCUGAUCCAGCCAUACCGCGUGGGUGAAGAAGGCCUUCGGGUUGUAAAGCCCUUUUGUUGGGAAAGAAAUCUUUCAGGCUAAUACCCUGGGAGGAUGACGGUACCCAAAGAAUAAGCACCGGCUAACUUCGUG